UAGGGAAGAAUGUGAACAAUGCGGUGCUC
RNAcentral lists this non-coding RNA (29 nucleotides) under Rattus norvegicus (Norway rat). The record is from RNAcentral. Lineage: Eukaryota; Metazoa; Chordata; Mammalia; Rodentia; Muridae.